Molecule: small nuclear RNA, 104 nt
Organism: Ailuropoda melanoleuca (giant panda)
Lineage: Eukaryota; Metazoa; Chordata; Mammalia; Carnivora; Ursidae
Source: Ensembl
GUGCUUGCUUUGGCAGCACAUACACUAAAAUUGGAGUGAUACAGAGAAGAUUAGCAUGGACCUGCACAAAAAAAAGUUCAUCUCUAGCUCCUUUUUUUUUUUUU